UACGAAGGGGGCUAGCGUUGUUCGGAAUUACUGGGCGUAAAGCGCGCGCAGGCGGUCCUUCAAGUCAGAGGUGAAAGCCCAGAGCUCAACUCUGGAACGGCCUUUGAAACUAGAGGACUUGGGUACGGGAGAGGUGAGUGGAAUUCCGAGUGUAGAGGUGAAAUUCGUAGAUAUUCGGAAGAACACCAGUGGCGAAGGCGGCUCACUGGACUGGUAUUGACGCUGAGGUGCGAAAGCGUGGGGAGCAAACAGG
Molecule: ribosomal RNA, 253 nt
Filed under: uncultured bacterium
Lineage: Bacteria
Description: partial 16S ribosomal RNA
Rfam family: Bacterial small subunit ribosomal RNA
Source: RNAcentral